CCUGAUAUAGUGUAGCGGUGAGCACGUGGGAUUUUGAUAAAUUAUCUCUUCCCGAGUCCCCGGUUCGAACCCGGGUAUCAGGU
Molecule: non-coding RNA, 83 nt
Organism: Diaporthe citri
Lineage: Eukaryota; Fungi; Ascomycota; Sordariomycetes; Diaporthales; Diaporthaceae
Source: the annotation of a RefSeq genome assembly